This 74-nucleotide transfer RNA is filed under the name bacterium. RNAcentral describes it as "tRNA-His". It matches the Rfam family "tRNA". Rfam says of the family: Transfer RNA (tRNA) molecules are approximately 80 nucleotides in length. Their secondary structure includes four short double-helical elements and three loops (D, anti-codon, and T loops). Further hydrogen bonds mediate the characteristic L-shaped molecular structure. tRNAs have two regions of fundamental functional importance: the anti-codon, which is responsible for specific mRNA codon recognition, and the 3' end, to which the tRNAs corresponding amino acid is attached (by aminoacyl-tRNA synthetases). tRNAs cope with the degeneracy of the genetic code in two manners: having more than one tRNA (with a specific anti-codon) for a particular amino acid; and 'wobble' base-pairing, i.e. permitting non-standard base-pairing at the 3rd anti-codon position. The record is from RNAcentral.
GCGGCUAUAGUUCAAUGGUAGAACAUCGGGUUGUGGUCCCGAAUAUCUGGGUUCAAUUCCCAGUAGCCGCCCCA